RNAcentral lists this ribosomal RNA (331 nucleotides) under Photobacterium leiognathi. RNAcentral describes it as "bacterial LSU rRNA". It matches the Rfam family "Bacterial large subunit ribosomal RNA", at positions 354 to 694 of the family's 2925-position model. The record is from RNAcentral. Lineage: Bacteria; Pseudomonadati; Pseudomonadota; Gammaproteobacteria; Vibrionales; Vibrionaceae.
GCGAUACAGGGUGAUAGCCCCGUAACCGACAACGCAUUAUCAGUGAAAACGAGUAGGACGGGACACGUGUUAUCUUGUCUGAAUAUGGGGGGACCAUCCUCCAAGGCUAAAUACUCCUGACUGACCGAUAGUGAACCAGUACCGUGAGGGAAAGGCGAAAAGAACCCCUGUGAGGGGAGUGAAAUAGAACCUGAAACCGUGUACGUACAAGCAGUAGGAGCCCACUUGUUGGGUGACUGCGUACCUUUUGUAUAAUGGGUCAGCGACUUAAUUUUAGUAGCAAGGUUAACCGUUUAGGGGAGCCGUAGGGAAACCGAGUCUUAACUGGGCG